This is a long non-coding RNA of Motacilla alba alba, 479 nucleotides long. RefSeq lists it as uncharacterized. The record is from RefSeq and is a predicted model, not a curated record. The transcript has 3 exons. Lineage: Eukaryota; Metazoa; Chordata; Aves; Passeriformes; Motacillidae.
AUCCUCUAAAAAUACACCCAGAUGUGUUAAUGAGCUUAUUUAAAUAAUAUUUUGAAUUAGCAGAAGACAGAAAUAUUGAAAACCUGUCUUUUUUUAUCUUGACAACAAAAAAUGAAGGGUCAGCUAAAGUGAGAUUACUCAAAUGGAUUCCAACUCCCAGCCAUCUUGUUUGAAAAUCUGGACACUGUGGUGUUGCUGCAUGACUGGGAAGAGGCAGUUCCUUUGUCUCUGGUGACCUUGAUAAUACUGUGUUAUUUGUUUUGGAAGAGUUCUUCACAUCAGGAGUACAGAACACAAAUACCAUAGGAGAAGCCAUCCAGUCAGCUGCUGCUAUCAAGGCCACACACCCACAAGGGAGCUCAGAGAGACAACGAGACGGGGACGUCGCCGAACAGCUCCCAGCCGAGCAAUUCCCAGGCUGACCUCCGGGCCCACCAAAGGCGCUCCCAGAGGAGCACGGGGGACAGCGGCAGGCGGCG